AUGGGAAGUCAGGUUGUGAGCUUCUCUGGACUCUUUGGCCUGGGUCCCCUGGAGGCUGCUCCAGAGGCUGUGCUGGGAGGGGGCCAAGGCAUACCUUGGUGCCUCUCCCUCCCUCCCUCUCUCUCUCUCUCUCUCUCUCUCUCUCUCUCUCUCUCUCUCUCUCUCUCUCUCUUUCUCUCUCUCUCUCUCUGUAUCUGUCUCUGUGUGUCUGUCUCUUUCUCUCUGUCUCUCCCUAUCUCUGUCUCUCUGUAUCUGUCUCUCUCUCUCUCUGUCUCUGUCUCUGUCUCUCUCUCUCUCUGUCUUUCUCUGUCUCUCUCUGUGUCUGUCUGUCUCUCUGUCUGUCUGUCUCUGUCUGUCUCUCUGUCUCUCUUUCUCUCUCUCUGCCUGUCUUCCUGUCUGUCUCUUUGUAUCUCUGUCUCUGUGUGCCUGUCUCUUUCUCUCUCUAUCUCUCUCUGUCUCUGUCUCGGUGUCUCUGUCUCUCUCUAUCUCUGUCUGUGUGUCUUUCUCUGUAUCCCUCUCUGUGUCUCUCUGUCUCUCUGUCUGUUUGCCUGUCUAUCUGUGUAUCUGUCUCUGUAUGUCUGUCUCUGUCUCUCUCUGUGUCUCUCUACAUCUCUCUGUCUCUCUCUUUGUGUCACUGUCUCUUUCUCUGUAUCUCUCCAUCUCUCUGUCUGUCUGUCUAUCUGUCUCUGUGUGUUUGUCUCUGUCUCUGUGUCUGUCUGUCUCUCUCUCCAUCUCUCUGUCUCUCUGUCUCUCUUUCUCUCUCUCUGCCUGUCUUCCUGUCUGUCUCUUUGUAUCUCUGUCUCUGUGUGCCUGUCUCUUUCUCUUUCUCUCUCUAUCUCUCUCUGUCUCUGUCUCGGUGUCUCUGUCUCUCUCUAUCUCUCUGUCUGUUUGCCUGUCUAUCUGUGUAUCUGUCUCUGUAUGUCUGUCUCUGUCUCUCUCUGUGUCUCUCUACAUCUCUCUGUCUCUCUCUUUGUGUCACUGUCUCUUUCUCUGUAUCUCUCCAUCUCUCUGUCUGUCUGUCUAUCUGUCUCUGUGUGUUUGUCUCUGUCUCUGUGUCUGUCUGUCUCUCUCUCCAUCUCUCUGUCUCUCUGUCUCUCUUUCUCUCUCUCUGCCUGUCUUCCUGUCUGUCUCUUUGUAUCUCUGUCUCUGUGUGCCUGUCUCUUUCUCUUUCUCUCUCUAUCUCUCUCUGUCUCUGUCUCGGUGUCUCUGUCUCUCUCUAUCUCUGUCUGUGUGUCUUUCUCUGUAUCCCUCUCUGUGUCUCUCUGUCUCUCUGUUUGCCUGUCUAUCUGUGUAUCUGUCUCUGUAUGUCUGUCUCUGUCUCUCUCUGUGUCUCUCUACAUCUCUCUGUCUCUCUCUUUGUGUCACUGUCUCUUUCUCUGUAUCUCUCCAUCUCUCUGUCUGUCUGUCUAUCUGUCUCUGUGUGUUUGUCUCUGUCUCUGUGUCUGUCUGUCUCUCUCUCCAUCUCUCUGUCUCUCUGUCUCUCUUUCUCUCUCUCUGCCUGUCUUCCUGUCUGUCUCUUUGUGUCUCUGUUUCUGUGUGUCUGUCUCUGUCUCUUUCUCUCUCUGUCACUCUCUGUGUUUUUCUCUGUAUCCCUUUCUCUGUGUCUCUCUGUCUCUCUGUCUGUUUUCCUGUCUAUGUAUCUGUCUCUGUAUGUCUCUCUGUCUGUCUCUGUCUCUUUCUGUGUCUCUCUUUAUCUCUCUGUCUCUCUCUGUGUAUCUCUCCAUCUCUCUAUCUGUCUGCCUGUCUGUGUAUCUGUCUCUGUGUGUCUGUCUCUGUCUCUCUCUCUAUCUCUGUCUUUCUGUAUCUGUCUCUCUGUCUCUCUGCCUGUCUCUUCCUCUCUGUGUCUCUCUCUCCCUCUCUCUCUCUGUCUCUGUCUCUCUUUCUGUCUCUGUCUCUAUCUCUGUCUGUCUCUGUGUCUGUCUGUCUCUGUCUCUCUGUGUAUCUGUCUCUCUCUGUCUCUCUGCUCUCUCUCUCUCUGCCUGUCUUCCUGUCUGUCUCUGUGUAUCUGUCUCUGUGUGUCUGUCUCUGUCUCUUUCUCUGUCUCUGUGUCUUUCUCCAUGUCUCUUUGUCUCUCCCUCUCUAUCUGUGUGUCUGUCUCUCUGUCUCUCUCUGUGUGUCUUUCUCUGUAUCCCUCUCUCUGUGUCUCUCUGUCUCUCUGUCUGUUUGCCUAUCUGUAUAUCUGUCUCUGUAUGUCUCUGUCUCUCUCUGUGUCUCUCUCCAUCUCUCUGUCUCUCUGUCUAUCUGUCUGCCUGUCUGUCUGUGUAUCUGUCUCUGUGUCUCUCUGUGUCUCUCUCCAUCUCUGUCUCUGUCUCUCUGUCUCUCUCUGUCUCUCUCUCUACAGGGUUUUAA
Molecule: long non-coding RNA, 2349 nt
Organism: Phascolarctos cinereus (koala)
Lineage: Eukaryota; Metazoa; Chordata; Mammalia; Diprotodontia; Phascolarctidae
Source: Ensembl